This 18540-nucleotide long non-coding RNA is filed under the name Gossypium raimondii (Peruvian cotton). RNAcentral describes it as "long non-coding RNA (GRAI_LNC000957)". Lineage: Eukaryota; Viridiplantae; Streptophyta; Magnoliopsida; Malvales; Malvaceae. The record is from RNAcentral.
CAGGCUGCUCAAAGCUUCACAUCGCCAUGUUUCCCUGGGUUGCAUAUGGUCAUUUCAUUCCCUACCUUCAUCUCUCAAAUAAGUUGGCUCAUAAAGGCCAUAAAAUUUCCUUCUUUCUGCCCAAAGGAGUUCAACCAAAGCUUGAAAACCUGAACCAAUACCCCAACUUGAUUCGGUUCUUUCCUCUACAUAUACCCCAUGUCGAUGGCCUCCCUCCAGGUGCUGAAACUACAUCUGUUGUUCCUAUGAACCAACAAAAAUACCUUGCUUUUGCCGUAGAUCAAACCAGGGACCAAGUUGAAGGAAUCUUAAAGGUUAUAAAACCUGAUAUGGUUUUUUAUGAUUUCUGGUUUUGGAUCCCAGACUUGGCUCGCCAGCUUGGGAUCCUCCCCAUAUUCUAUGUAGUGGUUUCCUCGAUGAUCAUGUCGAUUGGGCCAAGCACCAAGACUCUAACCAAAGAAAUGACUGUAGAAGAGGUGACGAAAUUGCCUCCUGAUUACCCUUCUUCCAUUGUGAAAUUCAAAGCUGAAGAGGCUGCUGUAUUGUUGUUUGGGGCUGAGGAUUUCGGGAGUGAACUGUCGUUUGGGGAACGGAUAAGGACUGCUGUGAGUGGAAGUGAUGCUAUUGCCUUCAGGACUUGCCGUGAAACCGAGGGACCAUUUUGCGACUAUGUUGCUCGAGGAUAUGGGAAGCCUGUUUUGUUAUCAGGGCCUUGCUUCCCUGAAACAAAGACCCAACAGCUUGAUGAGAAAUGGGUUAGUUGGUUAAGCCAGUUCGAGCCAGGUUCUGUUGUGUUUUGCUCAUUUGGAAGCCAGAGUGUGUUACAGAAGGACGAGUUCCAGGAGUUGGUGCUUGGGUUUGAGCUAUGUGGGCUACCAUUUUUGGUAGCUUUAAAGCCACCCCAAGGAUUCCCGACUGUUGAAGAAGCUCUGCCGGAGGGGUUUCAAGAUAGGGUUGGAGGAAGAGGGUUGGUGUAUGGAGGUUGGGUUCCACAAGAGCAGCUAUUGCACCACCCUAACAUCGGCUGUUUCGUUAACCACUGUGGGUAUGGAACGAUGUGGGAGUUUUUGCUUAGUGACUGCCAAAUCGUGUUGAUUCCUGAAAUUGGGGAUCAAAUUUUGAACACCAGAUUAAUGGUGGAAGAACUCAAGAUUGGAGUUGAAGUGGAGAGAGGUAAAAACAGGGAGGUUUCAAAGGAGUCAUUGAGUGAAGCCAUCAAGUUUGUGAUGGACAAGGACAAUGAAACAGCUAAUAUGAUGAAGAGAAACCAUGCUAAGCUGAAGCAAAUACUAUCUAACAGGGAUCUUCAAGAAGGAUAUAUCAACAAUUUCAUCCAAGCUCUGCAAGAUCUUGUCAAAUAGAGUGGCAAAAUCCAAGCAAUUGGUUAGAAAAUGAAACUGAAUCAUAGGUAUGAUUAUUGUUUUAUCACAUUCUUAUUUUCUAAUUGUCCAUGCUUUUAUUAAUUUCAAAUAAAGCAAUGUUUAUUAAAUUACAAUUUUAAUAUAUAAAUAAAAAUUCAAAUAAACUUUAAUUGAAAGUUCCAAUNNNNNNNNNNNNNNNNNNNNNNNNNNNNNNNNNNNNNNNNNNNNNNNNNNNNNNNNNNNNNNNNNNNNNNNNNNNNNNNNNNNNNNNNNNNNNNNNNNNNNNNNNNNNNNNNNNNNNNNNNNNNNNNNNUUAUUAAAUUACAAUUUAAAUAUAUAAAUAAAAAUUCAAAUAAAAUUUAAUUAAAAAUUACAUUGAAUUGAAAUGAAAUUCAAAUAAAAUAUCAAUUUAAAGCAAUAUUUAUUAAAUUAUAAUUUAAAUAUAUAAAUAAAAAUUUAAUUCAACAAUUACAUGACAAAUGAAGUUAUAAUUAAAAAAGAAAAAAAAAGUGAAAUGAAAUUGAAAUCAAAUUCAAAUGAAAAAAAAAUUCGAAAUGCCAAUACAUGACAGGCCCACACUUGUGACAGCCUUGUCAAAACAGGCCACCCAAUGGUUGGCACCAGCGGCCCAAUGUGCCAGAUCAGCCUGUCAAUGGCCGAUUUCAAAAAAAUUAAAUUUUGUCAGGCCUAUGAGGCCUAAUCUGUGUCAAAUCGGCCACUCAAUGGCCGGCAUCAGUAGACUAGACCUGCUCUGACAUGUCCCGGGGCAGGGGCCAAAAUUUUCUUUUCUUUUUUCCCCUUUUUACCCCUACUCAACCACUAUGGUCCCCCACUUUAAAUGUCAUGCUUCAACCUAAAAUUCGAGCACCAUCGCCCAUAACUAUCGUUCACCAUCGAUCACCACCGCUGAUCAUAGUCGUUCAUGGUUGAUCACUGUCAUCGAUCAACAUCUAUUACUGCUGAUCAAGGCUAAUCACCGAUCACCGCCGUCGAUCACUGUUGAUCACCACUGAUCACUCCAUGGGUCUUAAUCCUAAUUCUCUUUUAAAUGACGACAACCGCAUUGCUAAAAAUAUGAAUAAGGUAAAUUUUAUACCAAAUGACCCAUUUACUUUGAAUAACUAUGAUAACUUGUUUUUAAACGAGAAAUAUAACAUUUUAUAUUUAUUAUAAAUGCAGGAUUAGUACCGAAUUGUGAGACCCCGAUUACAUGAUCCUGAAUAUUUUUUCGAUCUGAGGGUUUUGCCAUAUUUGAACGCUGUGAGUUUUAGGGUAGCCAUGUACAUUCAGAUAGCCGAUCUACAGGCCAAUUUAAUAUUGGCCUUAGUUGAAAUAUGACGCCCAAAGGCACACAUGUUUCACCUCUCAUGUGGGGAGGUCACCAUUACACUGCAAGACGUAGCAGUCUAGCUGGGGAUGUCUAUUAACAACGAAGUAGUGACAGGGCCUAGAAAAUUGCUCGUUCCGUGGGGCACUUGCGAAUGGUUACUUAGAAGAAUGCCCCCAAUGAUGAGGAAUGAAGAUUGGCCAGUCUUAAAUUUACCUGGUAAGAACAAACUUCCAAAAUCUACCUAGCAGUCUAACGCAAAUGGACAUUAUCUACGCUGCAAGAGCGUUUAUUCUGCAACUUAUAGGUGGAGUACUGAUGUCGGACGUGAGUCAAAAUAAAGUCCACAUCAUGUACCUCCUCUUACUAGAGGACCUUGAGCAAGCCGAGAUAUUUAGUUGGGGCUCUGCAGUAUUGGCAUGCUUAUACAGCAAGCUUUGUCGAGCAACAAAACCGUCUACCAAAACUAUGGGUGUAACACUCCUAACCCGUAUCUGUUGUCGGAAUAGGGUUACAGAGCAUUACCGAAGUUUUCAAAUCUUACGAACACAUAUUUAUAAACAUUUCAUAUCAUAUCAUUGAACAUAUUAAAUCUAAACCAAAUCAUUCAUAUUGUCCCUUACACGAGCCUUCGAGGCCUUAAAUACAUAUUAGAAACAAGUUGGGACUAAAUCAGAAACUUAGAGAAUUUUUCAAAAAAAAUUAAAAAUUUUCAACACUGCAGGGGUCACACGGCCAAGAGACACGACCAUGUCUUAGGCCGUAUGGACAUUCGAAGUAUGGACACACGAUCAUGUUCUAGCUUGUGUCCAUACUCGUGUAACUCACUAACUUGGGUCACACGGCCAAGCCACCAGGCCGUGUACCCUUCGAAAUAACCUCACACGCCCGUAUGUCAGGCCGUGUGCUAGGCCGUGUAACAACUUGACUUGCAACCCUUUGAAAGCUACAGGGUACACACGGUCGUGUCACCUAACCGUGUGUCACACACGGCAGUGACACGCUCAUGUGUGGACGAAAAUAGGCCAUUUUACAAGCCAUUUUUGUAAUGACCCAAAAUUCAAGGUCAUAAAAAAAAUAUGAUAUCGAGCCUCCGUCUUAGUAAAUUGAGUCAUAAAUAAUUAUUAGAAGCAAUUAUGAGUUUAGUGGAGUGCUUAAUUAGGUAUUAAUUAGGUGAAUUUAGCCUAAUUUAAAGUAAUAAGGAAAAAGGAUCAAGUUGAAUAAAGAAUGAAAGCCUAAUUAUAGAUUAAAAGAAAGUAAAAAGGGCUAAAAUGGCAAUUAAGCCAUUUAUAUGAAAUGAGGCGGCAUAUAUGCAUUAAAAUCUAAGAUUUUAUUUAAGUUAUACAUAAAUAUUAUAUAUAUUAUUAUUAUAAUUAUUAACCAUUAUUAUUAUUAUUAUUAUUAUUAUUAUUAUUAUUAUUAAAUAAAGUAAAUAGUAGACAAUUGUAUGGUAAUAAAAUAUACAUGUGUAAAAAUUAUAUUUGUACAUUUGUAAACUAAACACUCAAAUUACUUAUAAUUUAAGUAUGAAGAUAUUUUAUAAUUAUUAAUUGAAUUAAUUAUAUUAUAAUAUUUUUAUAUAAUAAAUAAAUUAAAGACAUGACAAGUGUAUGAUGAUGAUAAGGUACAAAUGUAAUAAUAUUUAUGUGUACAAUCGUAAUAAAUGUAAAUGAUAUUAAAAUAGAUAUUUACUAAUUAUUAUUUUUAAGUUAAAGAUAUUUAUUAAAUUAAAUAAUUAAACUAUGAGACUUUUAUUUGAUAAACAAAUUAAAUAUGACAAUUGUAAUUAAAUCAUUGGUACAAAUGUAGAAAUAUAGGUGUGACCAAAUGUAAAAUAAGUAUUGUUAUUAAAAUAGAUAUUUAUUAUAAUCAUUAUAUUAUGUUAAUAAAAUAAAUAAAAUAUAAAAAGAAACAAAAACAAAGAAUAGAAACAGAAUUGAGACGAGAAGCAGGGGAGAAAAAGUGAAAGAAAAAGGGUAAGAAAAAUAAAAGAGAAAAUUAGGGAUUUGAAGCUUGAAACUUUAAUUGGUAAGUUUAAUCAAGUGCUUUUCUUAUAAAUUUGAUGUUCUUGGAAUCCAAGAGGUGAAAUACUCUUGGAUUUAAGUUGAAAUUUUGAAAGUUAAUAGAUUUUUUAGUAGGGUUUAUGUUGAUAGAAAUUUUGAUUGGAAUUGAAUAAAGGAUUGAAUUGUAAACUAAGCCAUAAGUUUUGAGUUUUAGGGAUUAAAUUGAAAUAAAUUCGAAAUUGGGAAAAUAUGCUCAAAUUUUAAUAGUUAAAUUUUAGUUUGGAUGAAAUUUGAAUAAAAAUAGAGUGUGAAUUGAAUUAGGAAAGUAAGUGAACUUAGUUAGGAUCAAAUUGAGAAUAAUGAAGAAAUUUAAUAGAAAUUCAAUUAUUUACCAUAAUUAGUGUUGUAAUUAAUAGUGUAAAUUAUUAUUAUUUUCGUAGCUAGCAAAGAACCAGAAGCAUCGGUACAGAAGGGAAAAGAGAAGAUUAUCGAGGAGUAAACCCGAGAAAAUCAUGGUUUGUAUUACUAUAAUUCAAAUCACUUUUUAUUAAAUGUUUUAUAUAAAUUUUAUAUUUAAUAAAUGAGUAUAAGGUAAGUGUUAAUAUUUGAGUUGAAUGGGAAUUGAUUGGAAGGUGAAUGUGUAUGUAUAAUUGAAUUGUAUAUUGAUUUGAAUGUGAAAUUGAAUAUUGACUUGAAAAAAAAAUGGAAAGGUGAAUUUUGAAUUGAGUUGUGAUUAAAAGUGAAAAAGUGGAAUUGAAUUGAAAUGUGAAUUUGGAGACCCUAUUAACUAGUCGGGCUGAGUCGGACAUAGUUGGCAUGCUAUAGGAUUGGAAGAGUUCAGGGAUACUUCGACCUCGAGUCGAUGAGCCACUGGGUGUUAUUAUAUUUCUUUGGAUAGAUUCGAUGAGGUACUGGGUACCAACUUUCUUCGGCUUUGCCGAUGAGACACUGGGUGUUAACUAUUGCUUCGAACUAUCCGAAUGAGGCACUGGGUACUAUGCCCAUACUGGAGUGUUUGGUUGGAUCCGUGUAUCCGCCAAAGUCCGAGUUUUGUUAAUAGGGUAAAUAAUGAAAUGAUAAACUGAAUAAGUUGAUCAAUCGAGCUAUUGAAAUGAAAUGAAAAGUUGAAUGGUGAAUUGAAAUGUGAUAUGAGAUUGAGAAAUGAAUCUGAGGUUCAAAAUGUGUCCAAUUUCCAAAUUGUGGAUAUAUGAUAUUAAUUGAUGAAUUAUUAAUGUUGAAACAUGAAAUUUGAGUUUAAAUUUGUAUGUAUGAUUUUAUACAUUACAUGCUUAUUAAUAUUAUAAUUUGAAUUAUGGUAAUACCACUGAGUAUGAAAUACUCAGCGUACGGUUAUUUCCGUGAGCAGGUCAUUAGAGUUUAAGGUCCAGUUUAGCAUCCAGAAAGAUCCCAACUCCAUCAAGAAAACUUUGGUGAUGUAUUUCUUCCUUUUAUUUAAGUGGCAUGUACUAGGUGAUUGUACACGAGUCAUAUAUAUAUAAAUAUAUAUGCUAAAUGAUCUUGGUUGUAAGUAAAUGGUUAUAAUCUUUAGAAUGAUAAAUAAAGUAGCGUUUUAAAGUAUAAAAUUAUUGAUUGAAAUAUUGGUGUUGGGUUUUUUUUGUUUUAAGUUUUCAGGGGGUUUUAUGUAAAAAUAAGCAGAAAUGCUGUCGAAAUUUUUAAAAAAAUGAAGCCAAUUAGCAUAAAUUUAUAUGAAUUUAUGAUUCUUUUAUAUAUAUUCGUGAUAUAUUAAGAAUAAUUUGUGAAUUGUCCGAGAUGUCUGAUAAUGCCUCGUAAUCCUGUUCCGGCGACGGUUUAGGGUUAGGAAAUGUUACAAUUUUUCUCACCCAUCAAGGCAUAUACCUACAACAAAAAAUGCAAAUAUACACAAACCAUAACAAGACACCAAAAUCAUGCAUAUUCUAGCGUCAUACUCAUUUAGCUUCGUACAUAUGCAAAUUUGUAAAAAAAGUACAAAAACUCGUAGCUAUAAUUUACGAAAUAACUUCGUAAACAUGUACGAGUUAGGACUGAAUUUUUUUUUCCUUUUAAAGAAAUCAGAACUGAAUUAUUAUUUAAUAAUAAUCUUUUAAAAAAGAUGAUUAUAAUAUAUCUAUUGGGUAAGUAGAAAACAAGAAUAUUUGAUUAUUCGUUGAUUAGAAGUUAUACAUACUCCGUUUAAUAAUUACAAUAGGAAAAACAGAGUUGGCAUGCGUAAUUGCCUUCGUGUCAGCGUCUCUAAUUUCUUAGAGGUAAUGAUUACAAAAUAUAAUAAAAUAUUUUCAGUAUGGACAAACAUGAUGAAGAAAAAAAAGGCGUUUGUUGUGCAAUUGUUAAUGGUAGGCGUUAUAAUUAGAUCGGUUUUUUGUCUCUCAGAUCACAUUGUGCAAGCAAAAAAAGAAAGAUGAGCAAAUCAGGCCACUCAAAGCUUCACAUCGCCAUGUUUCCAUGGGUUGCCUAUGGUCAUUUCAUCCCCUUCCUUCAUCUUUCUAAUAAGCUGGCUCAUAAAGGCCACCAAAUUUCCUUCUUUCUGCCCAAAGGAGUUCAACCAAAGCUUGAAAACCUGAACCAAUACCCCAACUUGAUUCGGUUCUUUCCUCUACAUAUACCCCAUGUCGAUGGCCUCCCUCCAGGUGCUGAAACUACAUCUGUUGUUCCUAUGAACCAACAAAAAUACCUUGCUUUUGCCGUAGAUCAAACCAGGGACCAAGUUGAAGGAAUCUUAAAGGUUAUAAAACCUGAUAUGGUUUUUUAUGAUUUCUGGUUUUGGAUCCCAGACUUGGCUCGCCAGCUUGGGAUCCUCCCCAUAUUCUAUGUAGUGGUUUCCUCAAUGUCGAUGGGGUUAAACACCAAGGUACUAACCAAAGAAAUGACUGUAGAAGAGGUGAUGGAAUUGCCUCCUGGUUACCCCCUUUCCACAGUGAAACUCAAACCUGAAGAGGCUGCUGUAAUGUUGUUUGAGGCUGAGGAUUUCGGAAGUGGACUGUCGUUUCGGGAACGGAUAAGGACUGCUGUGAAAGGAAGUGAUGCCAUUGCCUUCAGGACUUGCAGUGAAAUCGAGGAACCAUUUUGUGACUUUGUCGCUGAAGGAUUUGGGAAGCCUGUUUUGUUGUCAGGGCCUUGUUUGCCUGAAACGAAUACCCAACAGCUUGAUGAGGAAUGGGUUAGUUGGUUGAGCCAGUUCGAGCCAGGGUCUGUUGUGUUUUGCUCAUUUGGAAGCCAGAGUGUGUUGCAGAAGGAUGAGUUCCAGGAGUUGGUGCUUGGGUUUGAGCUAUGUGGGCUACCAUUUUUGGUAGCUUUAAAGCCACCCCAAGGAUUCUCGACUGUUGAAGAAGCACUGCCGGAGGGGUUUCAAGAUAGGGUUGGAGGAAGAGGGUUGGUGUAUGGAGGUUGGGUUCCACAAGAGCAGCUAUUGCACCACCCUAACAUCGGCUGUUUCGUUAACCACUGUGGGUAUGGAACGAUGUGGGAGUUUUUGCUUAGUGACUGCCAAAUCGUGUUAAUACCUGAAAUAGGGGAUCAAAUUUUGAACACCAGGUUGAUGGCGAAUGAACUCAAGAUUGGGGUGGAAGUGGAGAGAGGUAAAAACAGGGAGGUUCCAAAGGAGUCAUUGAGUGAAGCCAUCAAGUUUGUGAUGGACAAGGACAAUGAAACAGCUAAUAUGAUGAAGAGAAACCAUGCUAAGCUGAAGCAAAUACUAUCUAAUAGGGAUCUUCAAGAAGGAUAUAUCAACAAUUUCAUCAAAGCUCUACAAGAUCUUGUCAAAUAGAGAGUCCAAGUUGCAAAACAAGAAGAAUAUAUCCAUUUCAUUAUUUGGAAUGAAUUGAAGAGUAGUCCUUGCAGAUUAGCUCUCAAAAGGAUUUGGUCAAGGUUCUUUCACCAUGUUAAACGGCAUCUAAUGAUGCUGCUCAUUUUCUAGCCAAAAAUGGACUGAAUAGUAAUACUGCCACUAUGUGGGUGGAAGAUUACCCACCCAUUCUUCAUCUUUAUGUCAUCACUGGUGCUAUGAAAAUGUUCAAUUUCAACAACAAUAGCAAAAAAGUCAUCCAAUAGGGUAAUGUAAUUUGGAAUGAAUGUUGUUCCUAAUCUACACUUAAAAAUGUCAUCAUUUAUUUAUCUUUCUUUUUUGCGUUAGGGGUUAAAUAAGUUCAAUUCAGUCUCAAUUAACCUCUCAAACAAUAAAAGCAUAUCAAAUGGUUUCCGCUGUUGAUAGUUAAUGUGUUGAUGUGGCUAUUCAUGACAGCUGAAUAGACUAUUAUGAUGCUAACAUGACAAGUCCACAUCAACAAAAAUAAUUUUUUUUAAAAUACAAUAUUUAAAAAUAUAAAUUCAAAAUGAAUGGAAGUCUCGUAUUUAUUUGUUAGAUUAAUUCUGAAUGUAGUUUUUUUAAAUUAUAAAAAAGUUUAAAAAAUAAAAACAUUAUAAAAAUUGUAAAAAUGAGAAAUAAAAUUUUAAAAAAUAAAAAUAAUUUAAAAAAUUAAAUUCAAAAUAUAUCUAGACAAACGGACAUCCACUUUCAAUUGAAUUUUGACAGCAGUUUGUUCAUAUUUAUUCUAGAUAUUUUUUUUUAAUUUUUGAAAAAUUAAAAUUAUGAGAUAAAUAUCAAAUCUAUACAUGAACUUUGCUCUAAUGUGUAAUCUGAUAGAUGAACUUUAAUUUAGUAUAAUCAUACACAUAAAAACUUGAAUUGUGGUUCAUAUAUGUACAUGAAACUUUGAUUUUGAUUCAGAUGUACAUUUAAAAAAAAGGAAUACAUACAUUUAUUUUUGUAUUGGAUUAAUAUAAUGGUUUGUGUAUGCAAUAUGUAAUACCCAAAUUUUUACCCUGCCUACAAUAAAACAAAGUCCAUUAUUUUUAAGCCCAAUUACAAGACAAAUUACAUGGCCCAAUUUCAAUUGGUGGCCCAGUUACAAACAUAGCCCGAAACAGAUGAAGAAACCCUAGGGUUUCUGAGUAAAGCUCCAGCCGCCGCAACCCCAAUCUUGGCCGAAUCUCCAUGGAUUCACCUGCAUAGCAAGAAAAACGAAAAUGGAAAGGGAAUCAACAAUAUUUGUAAAUCAAAUCAAGAACUGAUUUCUUUCCUUUUUAGAUUUAUUUCAUAUGGCUAUAAAAAAGCCAUAAACACACUGUAAAGAGGAUCCGAUUUCGAAAUAAAAAUAAAAAUAAAAACUACAACUUUCACAAUAUCAAGAGCAAAAAAUCGAAGUAAAGGUUGAUACUAGCAUUUCUAUUUUAUUUUUAUUAUAUUUAUUUAUUGUUAUUAUUUAUAUAAAUACAAAAAGGAAGGAAAAACCUGUUUACCAGCCUUAAUCGCCGCGGAUGGCCGAGGAAGUCGUCAUUGAGGAUUGACGACCGGAAGCCGAAAAGUUUCUAUACUUUUAGGGGCCUUUUUGUUAAUUUUUCAUGGGAUUUGAGCCUGGAUCUAGGCUCAGGGGUCAAGAAGGUUGAAAAGGAAAUUUUUUUUACUUUUUCCGGCCACCGUGGACGGUGGUGACGACGCCGGAGAUCGGCGGCCGGCGCGGUGGCUGAUGACCGGCCGAUGACCGUCUGAUGAUCGGCCCAUGGCCGGAGGACAGAAAGGUUGAGAGAGUUUUUUAAAAGGUUUUUUUGUUUUUUUUUUAAAAUGUUUUGAAAUGAAAUUUUUGUUUUAUUUUUGGCUUAAAUAGCCAUUUGAAAACGGCGCCGUUUUGAGGGGAGGAUCCGCGCAUCGACCCGACCCGGACCCAGGAUCCGCGCGUUUUUAUGUGGAGGAGAAAAUUUCGUUUUUAGUCCUCCACCUUUUUAACGUUUUACAAUUAGGUUUGUUUAAUUUUUUAAAAUUAGCCCUUUAAUUCGUUUUCGAUUUCAAUUUAACUCUGCUUGAACGACGCUGUUUUGAGGAGAAGGAUAAAUUGCCCUUCCAGCCCCUCUGAGUUAUCAGCGUGUUCAAUAGGAUCUUUCAAUUUCCAUUUAUUUACAGAUUUGUUUCAGAAUUUUUAUUUACAGUUCAAAUUAGCCCUUGUUUUCUUUCAUUUUCUAUAUUUUCUAAAUAGUUUUUUUUUAUAUUCUUUUUCAUAUUAAUUUGUUUUAAUAUAUGUAAUGUAUUUUUACAUACGCACAUUUAUUUUUGCAGAAUAGUAUAAUUAUUUUUAUCUUAUUUUUUAUUUAUACGUAAUUAUUUCUUAUAACCUAUAUAUAUAUAUAUAUAUAUAUUGGUGCAUAUAUGUAUGUAUACAUUAAUAUUUUUAACUAAUAUAUAUAUAUGAAUAUAUAUUUAUAUUUUUUUUAAAAUGCAAAUAUAUGUUUUUUUAUACACUUUAUAGUUUUUUUUUUUUUUUUUUACUUUCACAAAUGCAUCACAUAUGUAUAAGUUUCAUAGCCCAAAAUUUAUUUAUUUUUAAUUUCCAUGUGUAUAUUAUAUGUCUUCUGAUUUUUUUAUUUAUUUUGCUUUCCUCGUUCGUGGUAUAAUUGUGUUUACAUUUAAUAUUUUGCAUGAUAUGGAUUAUUGCUUUUUAUCUCGUUUAUUUAUUUGUUUAUAUUAUUCUUACGCGAUUAAUGUAUUUAUUAUUGUUAUUAUUAUAGCAUUUGUAUGUAUACAAUAAUGUUGCAUCAAUUUUUUUACUCAAAUUUAAAAAUAGAAUUUUCUUUUUAAAAUUGAGAUAAUGUUCGUAUUUAGGAUUUACAAGGAAAUUGAGCCCUAACGUAUUGGGUAUUUUCUUCGUUAAAUCUAACGAUCGAGCAUUUCUUUUUAAUCAAAAAAAUAAGAACUCAUUAUUGGGAAUUCAACACGUUGUGUCCUAAUGUAUUGGACGUGACACAUUGAUUUCUCGAAAUGAGGAUUUUUCUUUAAAAAAAAAAUAAUAAAGGAAAUAUUCCGAGUUUGGGAUUUUAAAGAAAUCGUGCCCUAACGUAUUGGGUGUGAUUUUUUAAAUCUUGGAUAAGUGGAUGUUCUUUUAAUGUUUUUAUCGCACUAGUAUUUUGGCCCAAUUCAUUUUGGAGGAAAUUAGAAUGUUGUGCCCUAACGCAUUGGGUGUGACAUUUUUGCUUCUCUAAAUUGAGAAGGGUCUUAAUACGUAACGGUUUUAAGUUUUCUUACUAAGGAUUAUAUAUUUUCAAACCUUCGACUUCAAGACAUUAAUUAAUCGAUUUGGUACCAAUUUUGGGCGUUACGAGGGUGCUAAUCCUUCCUCGUACGUAACUGACUCCCGAACCCAUUUUUUUUAAACUCGUAGACCAAAGCCGUUUUUUUUUGUGAUCCAAUCACACCUUAAUAAAAGAUUGGUGGCGACUCUCAAUUUUCAUUUUUUUUAAAAGUCGACAACUUAAAUCCUAAAAUUUUUUGUUUUUCAAAAAAACGGUUUCGGCACAAUAUAUAAACAUAAAAUUGUACUAAUUCGAUAAUGUUGUUAGUGAUUUAAGAAAUUGAAUCGAAUAGAAAUAUCUUGUAUAAAAUCGCAUAAAGUCAAUAUUCAUGCAUUGCAUUACAUAUUAAAUUCAUGUAUAAUUUUAAUAUUUAUUCCCGUUGAUUUUUACUUUUCUCACGAGAGAUAAAUAUAAUUUUUAAUAAGAUUUUGAAGUUCUUCUUGUUGGUUUUAUUAUUAUUUAAUUUGUUUAUUGUAAUUUUAGUGUUUGCUAUACUUUCAAGGUCAUUUUAUUUAUCUGCUGUUAAUUUUAAUACAAGAUAUAAGAAUGCAAUUUCAAGCAACACAUAUUAUUAUGAUUAAACAUGUGCGUAAUGUUUUUUUUUUUUUCAAUGAGAUAUAAGAAAAAAAAAAUUUGUGUAGCACAUACGUAUAAAAUUUUUUGAAUGUUGAUUUAUCAUUUAUAUAAAUUUGUGUAGUAGAUAUAUAUAAAUGGUUUCUAAUUUUCAUUUAUCAUUUUUAUAUAAUUUUUAAAAAUUAUAUACCAUAUGUUGGCAUAAUUUAGCUAGAACAUGGCACUUUCGAUAGCAAUAAUGUAAGCUCAAAUAUUCAUACACAGAACAAACACAGCACAUAUCAACUUAUAACACAACACAACACAACACAUAUCAACUUUGAUCCAAUUCUUAAUCUAUAAAAUUAUUUCAUAAAAUCAAUAAAUAUUAAACCUUCUCAUUUUAUACCAUGAAAUGAAUGAAUCUAUAUUCUAUACAAGCUCAUUUUUUGAUACCCCUAAAAUUUUACAUUUUAUUCAAUUUAGUCUUUGAAUUCGAAAUAGUCAUAACUUCAAAAUUUGAGCCUCAAUUUAAAAUUUUGAUUUCACAUAUAUUCAUUAGGGACCCUCCACUUCCUACUCAUAUCGAAAUUUCAUAACAAUUUUACAAUCUAGUCCCUUUUCAUAAUCUAAGCUUAAAAUCUAUUAAAUUCAAACCUAAUUCUUCAAGAAAUCAACAAAUGCAACUUUUUGAAACUUUAAAAAAUUUACAAAUUGGUACAGAGUUAGCUAAAUUAAACUCCCACGACCUCAAAUACAUAAAAAUUUCAAGAAAAAGUCUUAAAUCCUUGGCCGAAAGCUUGGAUGCUUGGAAGGGUUUUUCUCUUUUGUGGAUCUAUGGUGGACGGUCAUUUGAAAAAAGAAGAUAGUGGAAUUUUCCAUUAUCUCAACCUUAUAUACUUUUAAUUAACUAAAGAUAGUCUAACUAAUUACUUUAACUUAGUUUUAUUAACUUAAAAAUUACUUAUUAUUAAUUCUUAAUGGGAUAUGGCAUCAACAUCCACUAACUCAUGUUUAUUCAUGGGCUAAUUGCUAUUUUAGGCCUUUGGUUAAUUGCUAUUUAGGUCCUCAAGCUUUUUGUCAAUUAAGAUUUCUUAGCGAUUGAACUUUUACAAUUUAGUUCUUGUGUUUUAACUAACUAUUAAUUCGGAAAAAUUACUGGACCAAACUUUAAUAUAUUCUUGUAUCAUCUCCGUAAAUAUUUAUAUUUAAUAUUUAUAGACUCGAUUUACGAAAAUAAGGUUUCAGAAUCGCCUUUUCCAAAAUCACUGAAAAUCGGGUUGUUACAUAACUUAUUUAUAAAAAAAAUAACUUUCUAAAGUUAUGUCAAAAAAUUAUAUUAUUUAUAAGAAAUGUUAUAAAAGUUUUGGACAAUUUAUAAAACUUUUUUAUACAUAUUAUAUAUUAUUUUUUACUUAAUUUACGUAUUAUAAAAAGAUAUAUAACUUAGCAUAAGUCUUUCUCCAAAUUAAGUUUAUAUAUGUUCUUAUAAUUAAAGCUAUAGACUAUUUGGACCGUGAUCUCAAAGAUUAUAAGAUCGAUGCUAAUUAUGCAAAUAGAAAAUGUUUUCUUGCACCAUAUCGUGAGGUAUGAUACUAUUUGAGAGAAUGGUGCUAAACACAAGUACCUUAGACAACUCUCAAACUCUUUAAUUUGAGACAUUCAAAGCUUCGAAAUAUGGUUGAGAAGACAUUUAUUGUUCUCAAAAAUAAUUUUCUCAUAUUAACAACAUCACAUUAGUAUAGCAUAAAAAAAACAAUAUCGGAUCAUACUAACAGGUUGCAUAUUUCAUAACUUUAAUCAUAAGUGGAAUUGAGAUGAUCCAUAAUUCGAUGAGUACAUGGAGAAAAGAGAUCUUGAUAAUCUUAAUUAUGCAGAUUUAGAUUCUGAUUCAAAUGAUGAUGAACUUAGUCAAGGACCAACAAAAUAAAAAACAUAUGUUAAAUAUUAAAUAGGGAAUAGCCCAACAAAUACGCACUAGAACAAUUAGACAGAAUUGCAUAUGAUGUUUAUUUUUCUUGCUAUUUUUGUUAGUAAUCGUAUUAUUAACUAUUUUUUUAGACUAACAUAAUUCAUAUGGUGGUUUGAUUUUAAUUUUUGUUAUUUGAGUAGAAAUUAUUUUUAUGAUAGUAAUAAAUUUUUUAAAAAUAUAAAUUAUGUAACAGUGUAAUUACAAUUUGUACUACCAAAUAUGACAUAAGGAAUUAUAAUAUAAUUACACUUUGUCAAUUAAACACGUCUAAAGUACAAAAAAAUCUAAUUACUAUCCUAAUAAUUACAUUUUCAUUCCCUUAAAAUUAUGGAAACAAGGUUAAUUCAUGGACUAUAUUGAUAUAUGUGUGUGAAGACAAAAAAGGAGCAGCUUGAUGUUGGAACAAGUGGAAAAUGAAAGGAAAAAGCAAUAGAGUAAAAGAAAGCGUGAUAUUCAAGUGCUGGAGUUGUAAGUACUCUUUGAAUUUUAUUUACCUAGAGUAUGUGUGCUUUUGUUAAAUUGAGGAACUAAAUUUUAAUUAAUGGAAUUGGCUAAUUAUAGUUAUGGAAAAUUUUGACAUUAAAAAUUAAGGGUUAAUGUAACAUUUUAAAACUCCCUUAAUCGUAAAUAAUAUGAAUUUUCGAAAGAAAUAGAAAUAGAAAUUAUCAGUAGAAAAAGCAGAUGGAUCCCAAAGUCACUUCAAUCGAAGAAUUAUAUUAUGAUGUAUUAGUUUAAAGUAGGGACUACAUCACAAAAAUGUGAAAAGUAUUGUGGAUAUAAUAUGGAUAUUCACAAUUUAUGGGGUCAAACAUAAAUAUAGAAAAGUUGAGAGACCAAAAGUGCAAAUCCUUAGAGGUGGAAAGUCCAAAAUGUGAAAUAAAUUGGUAUAUGAGGACUAAGUGGAAUAAGUGGAGAAAUGAAAGAGACUAAGUUAUAGUUUUGCCAAAAGUGAAAAUUGGUCAAUAGUGGAAUUGUAAAGAAUUAGAGAGUCAAAAUGGUUAUUUCUCAAUUAAAAUGACUAUCAUGUAUUAUCAUGAUAAUAUUUAGUGAAUAUUUAUUGUUGAGAUAUUAUUGGUUGAAAUAUUAUUUUAUUAUAAGAUAUUUUGUUAUUAAUUAAUGGUUAAAUAAAAAGGAAAAGAUGAAAAUACAUUAUCAUCAUCUUCUCCAUCAUUCACACCACCACCAUGAAAGAGAGAAGAAGUUUUGAAAGUUAUCCAAUUUAGUUCUUUCCAUCAAAAUUCACCAUUUCCACCAAAAAAUUCAAAUAAAUUUCCAUAGCUAAGAAAACAGAAGUUUGAGGAUAGAGAAAAUUAAGUUAUGAUCUAAAAUCAAGAAAACAAGAUAAGAGCCUUAAGAUUUUAUCAUUUUUUUUUUAGCUUAAUCUUGUUAGAGUUUUCUUAUAUAAAGUAUUAUGUUUUUAACAUGUUCAUGAAGGGAAAAGAGAGAGAAAGUGAUAAAGAUGAGAAAGAAAGUGAAAGGAAACAAAAGAAGUGAGAUUUAGUAAGAAAAAGCUAAAUACCCUUGAAUUCUAUUUGUUACCUAAGGAUUAGAUUGUAAAGAAUGCUAAGUUUAUUCAUGAUAAUUACAUGAAAUUGUUAAGUACAUGUAAAUGUAUGUUUCGACAUCUUUCUUACGAAAAGAGGUAUGUAAUGGAAGUCAUAAAAGAGAGUAAAUGUUAAAGGUUUUACUAAACGGUUUUCUGGAUAACAACUUGUUCGAACUUUGAAAAUUCACCAAAAAUUAUAGAAAUUUAGCUAGAGGUUAAACCAAACAUGAAACUUAAGACUAUUCAGUUUAUUUUUGUAUAGAAGAAAUGGUGUAAGUAAUAGAAUUGUGGAGUAUGAGAUAAGUAAGAUCAAAGUGAUUUCAGGUUCUCCUAUUCUGAAUUUGAAAAAUUAUUAAAAAUUAUACAAAAAUAAUUAGAAGAUGAAGUUUAUAUGUAUAAAAAUCUUAAUGAGUCUAAUUUCAAUAGGAAGAAACCAAAACAUUAUACAAAUUUUGUACUGAAAAUAAAUAAUUUUUAGUAGAAAAUGGUCAGAGUUGCCUAGUAGCAGAAAAGUUGAAGAUUUGAAAAAUAAAAUUGUAUUAAUUGGUUUGAUUUAAAAUUUUUGUCAUAAUUUUUAUAUUAAGGACGAGAUGUCUAGUUUCAAAAAUUUUCAAUGGAACUUGAUUAUCAAUUCCAAUGAAUGAGAUAUAAAUAAAAAUGUGACUGUUGCGCAGCAGAUUGCACUGUUUUAAGUCGUUAAAUUUUAAAACUUAUAGACUAAAUUUAUAAAUGAAGUAAAAGUAGGUUAAAAUAUGAAAGUCAUAAAAUAAAUACUAGUGUGAAUAGUUUGACUUGGAGAAAAGAAUUUAAAAAGAAAAGUAAAAGUCUUAGAAAUAUUCUUACACUGAUGUUGAGUAGGAGUGUGCAAAUUUCGAGUAAAAUUGAUUUAGCCGACCAAACUGAAUUAAUUCAGUUAAUCGGUCUGUUAACUGAAUUAAUUUAGUCGGGAGUCAGUUAAUAAUUUUUUGGAAGUUCGGUUAACGGUUAAUUCGGUUCGAAAUUGGUUAAUUAACCGAAUUAACCGAAAAUUUAUAUUUUAUAUACAUUUUACAUAUAUUAAAUUCAGUUAAUUCGGUCAAUUUUUUAUAUGUUUUAUACUUGUUUUAAACCCAAAAGCAAAAAAAACAUAUAAAUUUCGGUUAAUCGAUCGAAUUAACCGAAAAAGUUCGGUUCGGUUAAUUUCUUUUUAAAAAAUUUCAGUUUGGUUAACAAUUAAGGAUUUAAAAAGUUUGGUUAAUUCGGUUAAUGCUAGUUCGAGUCGGUUAACCGAUUGAACACCCCUAAUAUUGAGUAUUUAUUUGUGAAGGAAAAUAUAAUAUUUGAUUUUAAUCUAUUAUUAAAUAAAUUUUGUAUAUAUAUAUAUGCGUGUGUAUGUGCGCGCGCGCGCGCCCAAAUUUUAAGUUAAAAGUUUAGAUGAAGAAGAUAGAACGUAAUAUAAAAAAGAAAAAAAGAAUAACGGAAUUUUUUCUAGAAAAUUUUUGGACUCAAACGUUCAGGAUUUUGGGGGUCUUUUUAAUGAUUUAAUUAUUAUUUUUAUUUUGGUUAAUAAAAAGUAUUGAGCAAAUUAAUUUUUAGUCCUUUAGAAUUGGUAGACUAUACAAAUGUGAUGGCAAAUUGUGCCACGUGAAACAAAGGCGAAAAGAAUUAGAUUAUUAUUUAAGAAGAUCAAAAUUGAAUAAUUUAUUUGGAGAAGAUAAAAGUAUAAUUUUGUUAUCAUAUUUAUUUUUAAUUUGAUAAAAAAGAAUUAUUAUGUUGGUGGCCAAAAUCACUACUUAUAAUGGACUCACAUGUCUACAAGUCAAAUUUUAACACCAUUAGCUUGAGUUGUCACAGGAUAAAUAAUGUUAAAUUCAAAUACUAAAUUUGAUUAUUUAAAAAUUUAAGUAACAUACUAAAAGACCAAAUAUCUCAUUAUUCCAAAGUAAAACAUAUAAUCAAGCAAGACAUGAUGUAAAAUUCAAUGGAAAAGAAGAGAAAAUGAUCAUAUAAUCACUCUAGCCAUCCCUGUCUUCAAGCUUGACUUGAACUAUCAUGGUGGAAACAAAAUAAAGAACUCCAAGUUUGUUUUUACAGAGUAAAUUUUCUCCUUUUUUUCCUUUUUCUUUUAACCACGUGGUCAGCAUGCAGCGUAGUUCACCAUCAUGUAAAAGCCAUUGGAUUGUUUUCUGUGUCUUGCCACGUUGGGAGCAUGCACUAAUCCACAUUCCAUAUGUAGUCUAAGAAUCCCUGUAAUCUUUCGUCUCUCGGAUCACAUUGUGCAAGCAAAAGAAAAAAAAGAUGGGAAAAUCAGGCUACUCAAAGCUUCACAUCGCCAUGUUUCCCUGGGUUGCAUAUGGUCAUUUCAUCCCCUUCCUUCAUCUCUCAAAUAAGUUGGCUCAUAAAGGCCAUCAAAUUUCCUUCAUUUUGCCUAAAGGAGUGCAACCAAAGCUGGAAAACAUGAACCAAUACCCCAACUUGAUUCAAUUCGUCCCUCUAGUUAUACCUCAUGUCGAUGGCCUCCCUCCAGGUGCUGAAACUACAUCUGUUGUUCCUCUGAACCAACAAAAAUACCUUGCUUUUUCUGUAGAUCAAACCAGGGACCAAGUUGAAGGCAUCCUAGGGGCUUUAAAACCUGAUAUGGUUUUUUAUGAUUUCUGGUUUUGGAUCCCAGACUUGGCUCGCCA